CCCCGGGUGGCUCAGGUGGUAGAGCAUGUGACUCUUGAUCUCAGGGUUGUGAGUUCAAGCCCCACAUUGGGUG
This 73-nucleotide transfer RNA is filed under the name Felis catus (domestic cat). It matches the Rfam family "tRNA". From Rfam's summary of the family: Transfer RNA (tRNA) molecules are approximately 80 nucleotides in length. The record is from Rfam by way of RNAcentral. RNAcentral also lists the same sequence under 1 other name. Lineage: Eukaryota; Metazoa; Chordata; Mammalia; Carnivora; Felidae.